GGGUGUAGCUCAGUGUAGAGUACGUGCCUAGCGUGCACGAGGUCCCGGGUUCAAUCCCCAGUACUUCCA
This 69-nucleotide transfer RNA is filed under the name Camelus bactrianus (Bactrian camel). It matches the Rfam family "tRNA". Rfam says of the family: Transfer RNA (tRNA) molecules are approximately 80 nucleotides in length. Their secondary structure includes four short double-helical elements and three loops (D, anti-codon, and T loops). RNAcentral also lists the same sequence under 2 other names. The record is from Rfam by way of RNAcentral. Lineage: Eukaryota; Metazoa; Chordata; Mammalia; Artiodactyla; Camelidae.